Rana temporaria (common frog) is the source of this 196-nucleotide small nuclear RNA. RefSeq annotates it as U2 spliceosomal RNA. Lineage: Eukaryota; Metazoa; Chordata; Amphibia; Anura; Ranidae. The transcript has a single exon. The record is from RefSeq and is a predicted model, not a curated record.
UCAACUUCUCUGCCUUUUGGCUAAGAUCAAGUGUAGUAUCUGUUCUUAUCAGUUUUUAGAGGAGCAUUGAAGCACCUCCGUCGGGAGGGUGGAUACAAUCCAAUAAUGUAAUUUCACCUGGAAGGGUGGUUUCAGCAGGGGCUAUGCCGGGCUACCCGACUGACUGGGGCAGGCCACUGGUCGAGUCUGAGCCAUC